CAAUUUUAUCACCUAACGGCUACAUUUUUUGGCCGUUUUACGGCUAACGGUUAACCCCAUUGAGACCCUCGCAAAAGGGUGAUAGUAACAAAAGGAUGUUGGCUGUUGCCUUUUGGAUACUGCUGGUGUCGCUGGUUUAUGCUACAUUUGUUUUAGGCUAUACUGAUUAAAUAUGUGGCACGGCCGUAUAAUUAUAUGGCCUCUCUGUGUUACCUAUUGGAUGACUGUGGUUCACGAACACUGGAGUCUUUGCUGAUACUUAUUUUACGCAACCGGCGUAUCAGGCUGUGAGUUAUGUUCAGUGUCAUCGUCGACGCUGACGGUCAUGAGCGUGGACCGACUUCUCACCAUGUUAUUAGGACUGAGAUACAGAGAGACGUAACUCUGAGGUCCCUCAAAAUGGCGGCCAAACUUGGAGAUUGCCGAAAAUUAGCUAAGGACAACCUGCAGGAGAGUGGAAACGACAGCAGGAUGACGGUGACAACAAAUAUAACGGGAAGAGGAACACAAGCGCCAACAUUUGACGAAUCGCUAUGUUCUCCAGUUUGGGUAGGUGAGUUUAAACAACAGUCCAUUUCAUUCUCAGCAGUCAACAUUCUCCUCUCCAUCACAGCAACUCUUGGGAAUUCUCUUAUCCUUGUUUCCCUACACAAGGAAUCUUCCCUCCAUCAGCCAUCCAAACUCUUGUAUCGUUGUCUGGCAACAACUGAUCUGUUGGUUGGUCUUGUCACCCAGCCUCUCUAUGCUACUUAUUGGAUGUCCUUGGUUCACAAACACUGGAGUCUUUGUCGGUACGCAAGAGACGCAGUCUACAUAUCAAGCUACGCACUAUGUGGAGUGUCUUUGCUGACGUCGACAGCCAUAAGCGUGGACCGACUCUUCGCCAUAUUGUUGGGACUGAGAUACAAAGAGAUUGUAACUUUGAGGCGUACGUAUAUCAUUUUAGCCAUCGUUUGGGUUGUAUGUCUAGUCGCUGGUUUAUUCUCUCAUCUCAAUUACCGUAUAGCCCUUUCGAGCAGCUUGAUAAUUACACCGUUUUGCGUGGUAAUCUCAAUCGCUGCGUACACAAAGAUUUUCCGCGCUCUCGGUCAUCAUCAGGCUCAAAUACAAGAUCAUGUUCAACAACAGCCGAGUCAUCCAAAUGCACUGAACAUGGUGCGAUACAGAGAAGCAGUGUACAAUGCACUGUGGGUGCAGUUAGCUUUGGUUGUCUGUUAUGCACCACAAUUUGUAGGGAAAAUUGUGAGAUUUGCUAGUAGAAAGAGAUUUUCGAGUUUCUUCAUAAUCCAUGAAAUGGCAAUUAUCUUAAUGUUCUUUAACUCUACUUUAAACCCGUUCCUUUACUGCUGGAAGAUAAGUGAAGUGAGGCGAGGAGUAAAGCAGACAAUCAGACGAGCAAUCUGCUUUGCAGAGGAGUAGACCUAUUUUGACGUGGGCAUGUACUGCUUCUUCUAUAACUGAUUUGGAAAUUGUGAUAUCUUUGAGUUUAACCCAAUUAUCGAAUUUAAUCAUAAUCAGGGACAUGGCAGAUGCUUUAGUAGCUUUCUUUAGCUCGACUUUAAACCUGUUUCUUUGCUGUUAAUUUUAAAAGCACUCUUGUUGCUUAUUUCGAAUAUUCAAGGGGAAUACGUGACUCUAUCACAGGAUGUAUACACAAGGCUGGUCUCAUGAGAAAACAUUCUGUCAUUUCAUGACAAUCGAGUACGAAAGCUGUCGACACACGCUCUUGAGUACCUACCACUGCUCCUAAUUAAAAAGGACAAAGAAGAAACCUUGACCCUCCCUACUGGAAAGUACUGGGAAAACUUUUUAUCAUAACAAUCACGGAUAGACGCAAAAGCAAGUCAAUAAAGCCGAUGAAGCUUCGAUUUUGAUGUGUUGAAAAAAUACUGGGGACAAUUGCAAGUAAAACGUAUGGAAAAGGUUCAAACUUUUUCGCUACUUAACUCAACGCCUUUAUAAAUUGAUCAUGCGUUUUUCUUUGAAAAAGA
RNA transcript from Pocillopora verrucosa, 1991 nucleotides. It is a transcript of the gene named melanocortin receptor 5-like, with no coding region annotated. The record is from RefSeq and is a predicted model, not a curated record. NCBI's taxonomy places the organism in Eukaryota, Metazoa, Cnidaria, Anthozoa, Scleractinia, Pocilloporidae.